GACGAACGCUGGCGGCGUGCUUAACACAUGCAAGUCGAACGGAAAGGCCUCUUUCGGGGGGUACUCGAGUGGCGAACGGGUGAGUAACACGUGAGUAACCUGCCCUUGACUUUGGGAUAACUUCAGGAAACUGGGGCUAAUACCGGAUAGGAGCUCCUGCUGCAUGGUGGGGGUUGGAAAGUUUCGGCGGUUGGGGAUGGACUCGCGGCUUAUCAGCUUGUUGGUGGGGUAGUGGCUUACCAAGGCUUUGACGGGUAGCCGGCCUGAGAGGGUGACCGGCCACAUUGAGACUGAGAUGCGGCCCAGACUCCUACGGGAGGCAGCAGUGGGGAAGAUUGCACAAUGGGUGGAAGCCUGAUGCAGCAGCGCCGUGUGCGGGAUAACGGUCUUCGGGUUGUAAACCGCUUUCGCUCAUGACGAAGCUUUGUGUGACGGUAGUGGGUAAAGAAGCACCGGCUAACUACGUG
Molecule: ribosomal RNA, 467 nt
Filed under: uncultured bacterium
Lineage: Bacteria
Description: partial 16S ribosomal RNA
Rfam family: Bacterial small subunit ribosomal RNA
Source: RNAcentral